Non-coding RNA from Amborella trichopoda, 3949 nucleotides. NCBI's taxonomy places the organism in Eukaryota, Viridiplantae, Streptophyta, Magnoliopsida, Amborellales, Amborellaceae. The record is from RefSeq and is a predicted model, not a curated record.
UCUCUCUCUCUCUCUCUCUCUCUCUUGUCUUUUUCUCUGUCUCUCGUAUUGGUAAUUCAUUUCUUCGGAGUCUUUUUUCUAGAGGUGCAGGUGAAAUUUACUUGUCAUGCUCUAUUUUUGUUGAGAAAUCGAUGACGAAUCAUGUCUCAUAGUUGCCAUUUGCCGUUCGAAGUCUUGGUUCAGUUAUUUUUAGGCCUGAGAUAAAUACUUCCAUUUUUAUGGGUAUAACACAAGCAUCAGAUGUUCUAUUCUAAGAAAAUUUAUACCAUAGGGAUUGCUUUAACUAGAAACUCUUGAGAUAAUCUCGACCCCUUGUACAGACACAAGACAAGCAUCACAUCUUGUACUUUACGAAGAAUUACCAAGACAACUAUCUAGAAGCUUAUCAGGUCGAGAAACCAGAUGUUAGGAAAGAACAUGGCUCGAGUUUCUCUAGUUCUUCUCAUUUUGGUGGCAUUAGGGUUUUUCUUUGCUACCUAUAAUAUGUUGACCCUGAUACUCCACCUCAGAUCUCAAACUUCAGGCAAAAGUGAGCCAUCAGAACUCUUCGAUCCAGUGAUCACGAUGCCUGAGGAACUGAAGAAAGAAAAGAGGAAAAUGCCCUUCCAUGUUGCCCUUACAGCUACUGAUGCCCCAUAUAGCAAAUGGCAGUGUCGAAUAAUGUAUUAUUGGUAUAAGAAGGUGAAGGAUCUGCCUGGGUCUGAGAUGGGUGGAUUCACCAGGGUCCUUCAUUCAGGGAGACCUGACAAUUUAAUGAAUGAGAUUCCCACUUUUGUCGUUGAUCCUCUCCCCUCUGGCCUUGAUCGAGGCUACAUUGUCUUGAACAGACCAUGGGCGUUCGUGCAAUGGCUUCAAAAAGCUCAAAUCAAGGAGGAAGUUUGUUCUCAUGGACAAUGCAGCUAUAUAAUGAUGGCAGAACCUGACCAUAUUUUCACAAAACCACUGCCAAACUUAGCGAAAGGAGAGUACCCAGCAGCUUUCUCGUUCUUUUACAUUAAGCCAGCUGAGAAUGAGAAAAUAAUUAGGAAGUUCUACCCAGAAGAGAAAGGCGCAAUAACAAAUGUUGAUCCAAUUGGUAAUUCUCCAGUGAUUAUUCUGAAGUCUCAAUUGGAGAAAAUUGCUCCUACUUGGAUGAAUGUGUCUUUGGGAAUGAAGGAUGAUCCCAAGGCUGAUACAGCUUUUGGUUGGGUGCUAGAAAUGUAUGCAUAUGCUGUAGCAUCUGCAUUGCAUGGUGUGAAGCAUAUUCUUCGCAAAGAUUUUAUGAUUCAGCCUCCCUGGGAUUUAUCAAGUGAGAAGUCAUUUAUUAUUCACUACACUUACGGAUGCGAUUAUAAUCUUAAGGGUGAGCUCACAUAUGGGGUGAUAGGUGAGUGGCGAUUUGACAAAAGAUCAUAUCUUCGUGGUCCACCACCGCGAAAUCUGUCCUUGCCCCCUCCUGGAGUUCCUGAAAGUGUGAUACACCUGUAGAAUACUCUCUCUCUCUCUCUCUCUCUCUCUCUCUCUCUCUCUCGCUUCGGACAUGGUGUCAAUAUUGGAUUUUGGUCUUUUAUAGACGGGAUCAUUGUCAAUUCUUGGAGCAGUAAGGAGCAAGCAAAGCUCGCAUACUCACUGAUAUCACAUUGUCAUUCUAUCUUAGUUGAGACAUGGUUUUUUAUCUCAGCAGUCAUUUGCAUUACGUUAUGACAGUUGCAGUGCACUGCUAAUCCAAUGUUUCUUGCAAGCUCUCUAUGAAGGUGGUUUAUCAUUUCUUGGACGAAUGAGUGUAAUGUUAAGUUAUUGUGUUCACAAUGUUGCCAUGUCUUCAUAGUUCAAGGUGGCAUAUCAUUUCAUAGGUUGAAUAAGUGAAAUGUGGAGUAAAUAUUGUCUGUUUACACGUCUUCAUAUUUUUUACAAAGUUUACAGCCAGAGAUGAACAUCAAUAGUCGUGCUAGAUUAAAUCUUUGGAAGUGGCUAAUCAUUCUAUGUAUAGGACGUGAAAUUUUGUGUGAUUUUUUUUUUGGUGGGGAAAUCUUGGUUGACUGUUCAAUGUAUUUGCAUCCCAUAAUUAGAAGGCUUUUUUCUGAAGUUAUUAGUCUGAUACAGACAUCCAUGCUCUCUGCAUGUCGAUAUUUGUACAUAGGCUUCUGGAAAACUCUCAAAGAUACUCGUAUCUGUUAUUUUGUAAUAAAUAUAGUGAUUUUGUUUACUGUUUAGGUUGUGUAUGGUCCAUUUAUCUAUUGUGUAUGGAAGUUAUUCUCUCUCAGCAAUCAAAUUAAUUAACAUAGAUACCUCAGCUGAGACUUCCCUGAAGCUCAAAUGUGAUGCAUCCAAGUUUUAAAUUUUUAAUUCACCCUGCGUAUCAAAAAAUGAAAUAGGGGUAUUUAUCAAAAUUCCAUGAGAGAUAUGCUAUUAUCACUUUACACAUAUUGUUUGAUUUUAUUUCAAAUUACCCGUGAAAACACAUGAUCAUGAGUUGGGAUGGUUUCAAGUGUGUUUAAUGGUUUGUUGCUAAUUCCCCCUCCCCCCAAACAAAAACAAAAAAAAAAAUUUCCAUAGCUCUUCCAUGCUCAUUAUUACACUCUGCAGAGAGAGGUGUAAAACUGAGUUUUAAAACUUUUAGCCUGACCACUCCUCUGAUUACUCACUGCAUUUUAGAAACGCCAAUAUUGACUGGGAGACUAACUAUAACCUUCUUGGGAAAUACUAGAAUUGUGUACUAUGUAGCACUUUCUAUUUGCCGCUGUAUAUUAUCUUCUUUUUCUAUUCUUGUUUAUUUGUUCAGUAGCAAGGCAUUGUAUAGAUUACAGAAAUGCCUGAGCAUGUCUUAUACGUGGCUUUUUGUAUAUGAUAUUCAGCAGUUUUAUUUGGAGUUGCAUGUUGAGGUUGGACCCCCUCUUAGUUAUUCCCUGAACUUCCUCUAUAUAGUUGUUCAUUCUUUAUGAAGUUUAGCGAAGACUUGCUCGAAGUCAUGUUUCAAUGUUGCUAGAAUGGGAAAAGUUGAUUCUACUGAUGAUCUGAAAUUUUCUCUAUCUUUUCUUGUUACAUGAGUUUAGGAAACUGAGUAGUUAUACUUAAAAGCCAAUAAACAAUUAAGUGGAUUCUGCAAUAUAUAUGGUGAAUCUAUUGAACAAAGUAUUAUGUACGUAAAGGCUGUUUCCUCAUGUUUAUGUGUUAAAUAUUGAGGGCUUGCAACCAUAUUUUCUUUGAGAUCUUUGGUUUCUUCAAGAAAAAGAAGUCUAUCUUAGUGUUUCAAGCUAUAAACUACAAAAAAAUAUCUCUCCACAGAUUGAUAUUUCUUACUCUGGCUAUAGCUUAAGUUGUUUCUGUUACAUUUUGUGACCAGAAAGUUUAUAUAUAUUUCAAUUUAAAUGAUGGAAUUAAUUGUAAAAUGGAAGACUGAAAUGGUUUUGUAGAUGGAAGAAAUUGAACUGAUACUUGAGUAAUGGUUAUUUCUUUUUGUCCUUCGUUCCUCUCUGUGUUUUAUUCAGGUUACAUUGGUAAAGAGUGUUAAUGACGCCACUGCUAAUAUUCCUACUUGGGAUGAUGGAAAGUAACAGAGAAGAAAAAUACCUUGGAAAGCAGAUAGCUUGAAAAUAGUGUUCUAACAAAGUGGAAUUCAGUUGGGAGAUGCGCAACAUUUGAAGGCCUAUUUUGAAACAGGGUUCGCAGAAUCUUUGUUGAAUCUCAAACAAGGAUAUCAGAGUCUGUACACUUCCUGCUCAGGAUUACUCUGUUCUUUUCCUAUGAGGGAAAAGAAAAGUUAUAAAACUGAGUGUGAGAAAUACUUUUGUGCAAUUGCACAUUUUUGUACGCAAGUUAUAUAAAACAAUUUUUAGUUAUAGCCUUCAGCCCCUGCUGGGGAAAAAAUAAAGAGGAAAUCUGCGUCCCUCCAAUCUUUGCCAUAUUAUGCAGGCUGCACUGAUUAAUAAGAAAGCUUUCCAUACGCCACUAAGCAUAUGGAAUUUAUAUA